GAUGAACGCUGGCGGCGUGCUUAACACAUGCAAGUCGAACGAAGCACCUUGAUUUGAUUCUUCGGAUGAAGAUCUUGGUGACUGAGUGGCGGACGGGUGAGUAACGCGUGGGUAACCUGCCUCAUACAGGGGGAUAACAGUUAGAAAUGACUGCUAAUACCGCAUAAGACCACAGCACCGCAUGGUGCAGGGGUAAAAACUCCGGUGGUAUGAGAUGGACCCGCGUCUGAUUAGGUAGUUGGGGGGGUAACGGCCUACCAAGCCGACGAUCAGUAGCCGACCUGUGAGGGUGACCCGCCACAUUUGGACUGAGACCCCGCCCCAACUCCUACGGGAGGCAGCAGUGGGGAAUAUUGCACAAUGGGGGAAACCCUGAUGCAGCGACGCCGCGGGAGCGAUGAAGUAUUUCGGUAUGGAAAGCUCUAUCAGCAGGGAAGAAAAUGACGGUACCUGACUAAGAAGCACCGGCUAAAUACGUG
Molecule: ribosomal RNA, 479 nt
Filed under: uncultured bacterium
Lineage: Bacteria
Description: partial 16S ribosomal RNA
Rfam family: Bacterial small subunit ribosomal RNA
Source: RNAcentral